This 393-nucleotide long non-coding RNA is filed under the name Setaria viridis. RNAcentral describes it as "long non-coding RNA (SVIR_LNC007899)". Lineage: Eukaryota; Viridiplantae; Streptophyta; Magnoliopsida; Poales; Poaceae. The record is from RNAcentral.
GCAUGCAAUCUUCCUAAAUAUGCACUAGAACAUGUUUGGGAGUGUUUUUGGGCAUUCGGUUCCGGCACGAAAAAUGAUGCAAAACGGGUGCAUUUCGGCACCCGAAUGCACUAUUGCCGGGUAGCGAAACUCGGGUGGAUUUUUUCGCAACGAACGCAUGCAAUCUUCCUAAUUAGACCCUAGAACAUGUUUGGGAGUGUUUUUGGGCAUUCGGUUCCGGCACGAAAAAUGAUGCAAAACGGGUGCAUUUCGGCACCCGAAUGCACUUUUGCCGGGUAGCGAAACUCGGGUGGAUUUUUUCGCAACGAACGCAUGCAAUCUUCCUAAAUAUGCACUAGAACAUGUUUGGGAGUGUUUUUGGGCAUUCGGUUCCGGCACGAAAAAUGAUGCAAA